Molecule: long non-coding RNA, 10398 nt
Filed under: Triticum aestivum (bread wheat)
Lineage: Eukaryota; Viridiplantae; Streptophyta; Magnoliopsida; Poales; Poaceae
Description: long non-coding RNA (TAES_LNC022615)
Source: RNAcentral
CAAGAUGCUCUAGCAGGAGAUCAAGCAUCAUUCUAACUGGGAUCCUUACAAUGCUUGUCUCGGCCUGUGUCAUAGGAAAUUUUAGAAUGGUUAUAUAAUUUUCCAGAGUACUAAAGUUGACAACAGUUGGUUUUAUACCAUGAAAACAAAGGUCUGGGUAACUAAAGGACAAUAAUCUUUGUUGUGCAAGAGUUUUAUUAGAUUCUUACUGUCCUAUUCGACAAUUGAGACAGUAAUUGAAAAAAAAUCAAAUGCUACCAUGAAUCAUAAGAUAAACCAGCAGAAAAUCUAAAGCCUAAUCAUCGGACAAAGUCACACACAUGAGCAGAUCGCUUCAAGUAUUGUACAAAGAACAAUGGCCUAGGAAACCAAUCCACAAUGCAGCGAGUUUGCUACAAAGAAAAUCCUAAGGACAACCUGUACACACUCAUACGCAAGCGUCAAUUCUGGUGUUUCCAACUUUAAUGAUAGGCUAAUCGAAACGAGAGGCCAAGCAGUCCUGGAUAAUCAUUUUGAAAAGUCUAAUUAGACAAUGUUAAGUGCAAGAGAGGCAAGGUGACUAAUUCAACAAUGCGCCAGGAACGGCCAGAAAAAGAUGAUUGCACUCACACAUCCAUUGUAGUUCUUGUAGUCCUUGUUUGUUUUGCAACAGGCAGACCAAUGUUACCAAGAAUGGCAUUAACCAUAGACUUUGGGCUGAUCAGCUCUUCAGUUAAUGAGACACCAAACGAUUCGAUAGGUAUAAUAUAUUUGGAAACAGAAUGUGUCAGGCCAGGCUCAAAAACAAGAAUGACACGAUAAGUAAGAAAACAACGGUGGCACAAGUUAAUAUGUGAAUAGGUGGCCUUUAGAUCGUUUAAUAGAUUCAUUAUGUGAGUAUUCAUACUAAGUAAAACUCAAUACCACAACUAAAUUAUAAUCAAUAGAUUUGGAGUAUUCUCUCUGAAAAGGGCAGCAUUUUUAUACACAGCCCGAAUAACAGUAAGAUCACUCACGUGAACCCUAGAUCGAUACUACUGAAGUACAGAAUUUAUAAGCGACCGACAGCUCGUGUUUACCUUGUUCAUUGGUGGCACCGUGGACUGCGUUUUCCAUGUUCCUGUCGCCGGCGUGGUGGACAUGAGUUCCCUCCAUGCACUGAUUGGUAUUGAGUAGUCAGUUGCUUUCAGAUCACAAAGAACUACAUCAAACAAAGAUGAAUCUAGCUAAAGGAUGCAUGUCCUGCAUACAAUGUAUAUUAGACAAUGCUAAGAGCUAAAAAUAUUGAUUGGUGCAAGUUUGAAGAGAACAAAUCUAAAUUACAUCAUACUUGAAUCUUAGCAAAGCAAAUGGUCAAAUAAUAUAUGUAUGAGUGGUAGAAGAAUAGCAAUGGCCCAAAGCAGAUACGCGAAACAACAAUCAGGAUCCAGAAAGUCCAAGGCAAGGCCUCUAAAAAGAAUCUGCUCCACACAAGAAGAAACCAAAGACAUUUUUACAGCAACAUAGCCAGUCCUGCCAAAUAGUACAUGAAUUAAAGAAGGAAACGAGCUUACCCAGUAGGAGCAUGACUGGCACGACCACCGACAGUAGAGGCGAAUGACAGAAUCGUCCGUGGAAGGAAAAAUCGAGCACGGCAAGUAAUCUGCAGUGCAAACCACGCGUCAAAUAUAAAGCUUCCGCCACACACCAAUAUGAGUCUCAAUCCAAAAAAGUAGAGCCAGACCAGGCCAAGACACUAAUAUGAAUCUCAAUACAAGGGCACAAUGAGCACUGAAGAUUUUUCAGCAUGUACCAUACAUCUAGAAUAACAUGAGCAGCCCUCUGCAAUUUAUUACUGAUGCCCAUGCGUAUGUUACGUAUAUUUACUAAGUAUAUAAUUAGCAAAGGAGAGAGAGAGAGAGAGAGAGGGGCGAAUCUUACCAACGAGGGGCGAGACGGGGAGUGGUGGCUAGGUUCCGCCGACGUCCAGCAGGCUGCCGAUGUCGUUGAUGAUCCGGUCGGCGUCGUCGAUGAAGAGGGUGGCAACCCCGGCGACGAAGCCCGACGCGCUGCCGCCAUCCUCCUGCAGCGACUGCAGCUGCCGGAACUGGUCGUCCACCAUACCCUAGGAACAACAGAUCGGCCACGCCGGAGGCAACGGGUCAGGUCGAAAUGGCGACGACGACGACGACAACCCCCUACUGGAUGCUCCAGCGUGAUGUCACACUUUGACAUAGGGUAUAGUACACACGUAUGCAAAAUCUCUAGCAUCUAGACUCUAUCUUAGUACAUUCUCUGAUGGUGCAAACUUUACAUAUGAAGAUAAUUAACUUAUCUAGACCCCAGGACGGAGGAAAUCAUUUCAAUCGAUCUUAAUAAUACCUUGGUAUGCUUUAUAUUUUUCCUGGGACUAAUUAUGUAUGUGGUGAUGACACAAUCCUAGUGGGAUAGCAUCACCCAUUCCUUGUUCAAAGCAACAUCACAAUAAACCAAUCCGUGUCACAAAUCGAAGGUGGGGACUGGACAACGAGCUAUGUCCAACGGGAAGCAACACCAGCAGCUCACAAUAUAAAUAAAAAGUGUCAUCAGUAAAGUAGUUGACAAUAAACUAUAAGCUCAAAUCAUAGAACUAUUGUUGCAGGUCAAAACAAUUGAAGUAUGAUUUACCAAUCUACAAACAUAGGCACAUAAAUAAAAUUGUUUGAUUCUUGCCUUUACAUAUAUAAUAUAAACAGAGACACAUAAUGAGGACUCCUAAUAAAAAAUCUCAGUUUUUGUUUCGCUAAUUUACAGUGAGAAGAGAAAUAAAAACAUGUACAAUCUGGAAGUUCAACUACUUUCAAUACAAUUUUCUUCUGGUUUCUAGUUUUUCUUAGGAGAGAACAAGUAACACAACUGAAUAAAACAAAUCAAAGAUGAUUAAGGGCUGAUGCAGUACAAGGAAAGUAAGAGGAGGAGAGGGGGACAGACCUCCCUGGACAUGCAUAUCGCCCCACCUCCCUUGCCCUUCUUCUUCAGGUCCUUCUGCUCCUUGCUCAUCCAUCCCCUUCUUCUCCUUUUCUCUGCAGCACAUGGACGGGGGAAGCACCAAAUUGAUGCCCCCCAAAACACAAAUCGGUCCAAAUCACAAGUAUUAUACAAGGUAAAAAAAUGAUUUUUCGGUAAGGAACAGAAGAGGGUAGAUAGAGGGAGAGGGCCGAGGAUACCGUGGCUGCCGCUAUGUUGUGUUGGGGAAGAAGCACACCCCCUCUACCGCCGAGUGGUGGUGGAGAAGCUGCUCCUAAUAUAAAGCUAUUCCUGCAACCUGUAAUAACACACUCAAGUUAAUGGGAUAAGCACACAAAUUAUCUAUCUAGUACAAAUCCCCUUAUCGCUGUUGUAGUUAUCUUUUCCUUGAUAAAUUGUAUUGCUAGGGAGGCCUUCCCUAUAGUUUUCCAGUCAAAGUUAUAAUAAUAAAGAUGCAUAUUUUGGCACAAUUAUUCUCUAGCUAAUCCACUUGCCCUCUUAUUCUACUGACUGGUGACAAGGCAUGAGUGUGGAAAUAUUCUAGAGCAUGCAUCUCAGUCAACUGUAUGAAAGCCUUACAGAAAGAUCAAUUGAUUUAAAUUAAUGAUUGUAUACUACGUACCCUAAUAUUAUAGAGCAGCCACCAUCAAAUGAAUCAUAACUCAUGAGGAACAGACUGAAGGAUAAUGUCUCAGUUGUUACACUUGAGCAGCAAACAAAUUAAAACGAUCAAUUUAGAAGCAAAAAAAACUUUUUUAGAUCAAUCUAUCUGAGUGCAAGAGUGCAGUGCAGAGGCAGCCCUCUUGUCCAGUGAAAAAAAAUGAUGUGUGCAUACAAUGGAUACAUACACACACAAUUUGCUCCAGUUUGAGUCAUCCAAAACUAAACCAUAACAUGAUGCGCGCACACAGAGUUUGCUAUGGUUUUCUUCACGGAUGAUGAACCCAAACGUCAUGCCAUCCAAAAGGAAGGUGCAAACUAAACCAACACAAGGUACAAAGUGUAGAUGAUGUUCAGAUGUGGGGGUAGAUUGGGGGAGAGGAAAUUCACCAUGUUGGUUCUGGGUGCCUGCUGUUAGGAAAAAUCUUUAGGUUUAUUGCAAUCGGAUUAUUUGCCUAGCAUUAGAUCACCUAAGAUAUGAUUAACAAAGAGGUUUGUGAGAUCUUACAGGCUUGCUCGAUGCAGGCACAGCGGAGCCCAUGAUCUCAAGUGGCGAGGAUGAGCAGCACCAGUGGCGCCAAGGUGAUGUAGUCGUGGAGAGGCAGCAGCUCACCCAGGAGCUUCGCGGUGGCAGCAGGAAACCGCCGGCACAGCCUUGCGGCGGCUAGCGAUGGAAACGGCCUUCCCAUUGCGUAACACACCCCUAGAUCGGUAGGUUUGAGGGAAUUAAGGGGCUAGAUAUCAUGUACGUGAACUCAGGUGCCAUAAGUAUCCAGGCCCCACCCUUUAUAUGUGUGCUCGCAAUAGGGGACCAAAACCAUCUGUUGGUUAGAGGUGCCCCCGAUCAGGGCGAUUCUGUUGGGGUCAACAGCCACGUACGUUGGUUCGUGGCCCAUACCCUUAACGAUACUUUUUACCCGGUCAAAGCCGAGAUCAACCAACAUUCUCCCCCUUGAUCGUUAGGCUCAACUUCAUUCGCCCAUUUUCCAUAGGAAUAAUAUAUAGAAGUAAGGUGUUACAACAGCGAAUGUAAUGCCAUUAAACCUCAAUACUUAUAAUACAUCAGCCUACUUCAAAAUGGAAAACAUAUUACUUAAUGGGGGUGGUUUGUUUCGAAGGUCCUUACUUCCAGGAUCAAAAAGGCUUUCCAACAACCCAUGCUAGCAACAUAAUCUUACAAUUGGGUGGUAAGCCUUCGAUAAACGGAUCCGUAAAACAUUCAGACAUACUCAUACACUCAACUUCAAUAGCUUGAUCCUGGAUUCUAUCUUUCACAACAAAAAACAUAUUGUCAAUGGUUUUGGCAACGCCAUUUGACUUGUUGUUACUCACAAAGAAAAUUGCACAUUCAUAUUGCAGUAGGUGGUUUAGAAAUGUUGUCUACCACCAUAAUUUCGAGAAUAAAACUUAUUUGACAUACAACCUGCUCAGUAGCCUCUUAACAUGCCACAUAAUAAACUGCAUCAUUACUGAUGCCAUCAUUGUCAUUAUGGAGAUUUUCCACGAUAUAGCUCCAUAUGCGAGGGUGGGGAUGUAACAUAACGUGGAAACUCAAUAUCCGCACACCUCGCAGAAAACAAUGUCUGAAUAGCCUACGAUAUUGAGGUUACUAAGACCUCUUAUUAUUGAGCAUGUAAACUUUAUUGCCUUGAUUUACUGCGAAACUUUUCAACGGCCUUUCGAGUUGUCCAUUUCUGAACUUGUACAUUUGCCAAUUAUCCCGAUCAUAAAUAGGGCACAUUUAUACUUGAAUACUUAUAUUGCUUCUGACAGCUAAAGCAUAAGGAACUAACAUUAUCUGAUCAGUUCAUAAUGGUUCCUUGAACACUAAGAUGUCCACUUUUAUUGCCCUUAACUUUAAUAGCAGGUGAGACAGAGUACUAGUACAUAACCAUUUUUUCGUACUCUAUUGACGUAUGCCAUCAUAAUAAAACUUAUACUCCUUUUGGACCAAUAUCUUGGCAAAACUCAAUACAAGCAAAGUAAUAUGAGGCAUCACCAAGACUCAUACUCAUAAAUAGAAGAUAGAAAUUUCUUGGCUCGACAAAAAUAUUUCAUCUUCACAAGGUAGUGAGCUUACUCCCCCUCGACUUAUGGUAUGAGUGUCCCAGCGCUUGUCUUGUUUCAUAAUUGUAUUUCUUUGAAUAAUAUGCCUCAUGUCAACUUUAUCUUCAUGACGGAACCUUACGGUUGAGUCAUACGUACAUUUUUCACUCAGCCAACACAAGAGCAUGUUAUAAUAAUAACACAAGCGUCACAACAACUCACCAAGAAAACUCUAUUGAGUUACAUCAUUAUAGCUCAUAACUUCCAUCCUAUAUGGCAAGAACGCGCUAAGAUGAUCAUUCACACACAUUAUUAAACGCAGGGAAAUUGUUAAGGCUCAACACUAAGUGUUGCAUUAGGAAUUUCUUCUCAAAUUACCUAAUGCAUAUGAACAAAGAUCUAAUGGAGUUAUCCUUAAGAUUCAUAUUCACAUGCUCCAGGUUCCUUGAUAAUCACUUUAAAAAUGGAGAACAUAAAUCCAAAAACUUGAUGACAAUCAUCUUAGCUCUAAACCACAACACCGUUGGGUAGAAGAUGGCAAAGAACUUCAUGAGUUGCGACACAUGAUUAUAAAACAACGUUGGUUAGAAAUAUAAACAUGAGCCACAUGAUACUGACAAACUUGCCACUUCAAUAAAGUGUGACACAUGAUUAUAAAUGACGUUGGUCAGAAGUAUAACCGCAGUAACAUCAUAAUCAACAUUAGAUUAGCAAGCUUGCCACUUCAACAUUCAUGUGUGCUUCAUAAUUCUCAUAAGGGAGCAAGUACAUGUAGUUUCUCAUUAAAAAAAAGUCAAGACAUUCAUGUGAUCUUUCACUCACUAUAAUCAUUCAUUCUCUUCAUGUGAUCUUUCACUCACUAUAAUCAUUCAUUCUCCAAAAUAAGACUUCUCGUUGGUUCCAUCCUACUCGGAGAAUUAAUUGAUGCGUUCAUCAUUUCCAAUAUUCAAUGAGACAUUCCAUUCUUCCCCUCGAAAUGUGGUAAACAUGACCACAAUUUCAACGAGGUCUCAUUAUUCACAUACACCUUAAGAGUGCCAUGGCACAUAUCAUUAUUGAAAAUAAUUCAUUCAUAAAUAUUCUCACCACAUGGUAAGACGAUCAUAAAAGGGUUGAUUAUGAAGGACAAAAGGUUCAUAUGAAUAAACAAAAUGUCUUCUAUUGCUUUAUUCUUUAUUGUCCUCGUAGCAAAACCCCUUAAAGCCGAUCUUCAAUGGGUAAAUAUCUUUAAAAUGUUCCUUAAUAGAGCCCAAGUACUUAUUGACAUAUACUAAAAAAAUACAUUCUUUAUCUCAGAGGAGAUGGUAUGCUUCAUGAUAAGGAGUGAAAUAUGGUUUCUCCCACUCAAUUGCUUUCAGGUCAUACUUUUCCAUCUUGUCAUCAGAGUUCACAAUAGAAAACUCAUGAAGGUCCAAAACCUCUAUCAUUAAGAGAGCCCUUUCCUUCCAUUUGUGAAGAUCAACUCCAUUGUUCAAAUAAAUGAACUCAACUUUGUGGUCCAUUGCUAAACAAGGACACGAUUUUAUGAGCAUCAUUAUUAAACAUCAAACAAAACACUUGAAUGGCCUCAAUCAAAACAAGAUACUCAUGUUCUAAUCCGUAUCACCGUUGGGUUGAAAACGGAGAAGAUCACUUUUGAUCCAAAAUUUGGACAUGACAAUAAUCAACGUUUGUCAGAAUAUUGUCAUAUACCAUAAAACAUAUGCUCAUAAAUGACAUCUCUAACAAAAACUUCCUAUUUUGGCUCUAGAAACUUCGAAUCACAUAAUGAUCAGCAAACUUAUUACUAAAUUAGUAGCCAACAUUAACAUAAAGCACCAUUAUAUGGUGCAAUCCUAUGUGUUAUCACAAACAUGGAUUCAUAAUUUAUCACUGAUCAUCUUACAUUAAACUUUGACAUCAUAAUGUCAAUAAUAUCAAUAAAAUAUGUCAAGGUUUAUCAUUAAAAAACUUCAAUCACAUCAGAGUAAACAUUAGAUUGACACCCUUUGUGUAAUGACACCAUAAACAUUCUCCAAACAAAAUUUGGAUAUUACACCAUGCUUUCACCGAAUAAUAACAUUUGGUAAAAAUUUAGCAGUCAAUAAAUGACAGCUCAUGACCAUGAUAUGACAUUAAAUUUCUCUAAAUAUUCUUCUUCUGUGAAUCAUUAUGCCGAGCCUCCGUCACCUUCUGUCAAUGCAUGCCAAAAGACACAAAAUGCACCUCACAUAGUGGUUUAACAUUAUGGCUCAUCAUCAUUAGACUGCGUAGUGCGGUGCGGAAAAGCCGAACCACGCGGCCACUAACACUUCCUUAAGAUGGCCUCGGCCAGACUUGAGAGAUGAUCACAACUUAAACUUCAUGCUCAAAUAAAAUCUUCGAACAAAAUGUCCAGAAACUUUAGAGAGGUACACGUAAUCAUGCAAAUAAAAUCAUCUCAUCACGUUAAUAAUUCAACAUUAAAAUGCUAUUAAAGAGAGAUUAUCACUAAAAAAUAAUACCAUAUAAAUAACAUCAUAAUCUCAUAGCAUUAUUCACCCCUUAAAUUUCAGACAUUCUCCAAUUUAAAACAGUACAUAAGACAUUAUUUGAAAAAUUCAAACUCCAUAAACUGUACUGAAAACAAGAAAAUGCCUGAAUAAUUCAUCAUACAUAUUGGCCACAUCAUUCUCAUAUUAAAUAUAAAUUUGACAACAUUAAUUUUCAAUGUCAAUAGAUAUUUAAAAUGAUACUCAACAUUAAAUUUCAUGUGUCAAAAUAAAACAAAAAAUAUUUCUUAUUGGCUCCUUUUAAUUCUGUAAAAAUAACAUAAUUUUCUAGCUAUUUUCAUUUUAAAACAGUGCAAGACAUUUUGAGAAUCAUCAUAAUACAAAAUAGCACUGAAUAAGGGAAAAUACACAGAACAUCAGAAUUGGCCCAUGAAAACCACGUCAGACUUUUAUUGAUUCGGCCUAGGAGAAAAGAUUCAGAGGAAAGAAAAAAUCCUCCCGGGCUUAGACAAACUCGGCCGAAGCCCAGCCGCAAAAGCGGCUUGUAAGACUCCCGAAGGCCCAUGCGGCCACCGCCUUGAUCGUGGCCGUACGAUCGAAUCGGACGGACCAGAUCGAUCUCUAGUGGAACAAAACCGCCACCAGUCGAAACCCUAGCCCUCAUUUUUCUCCAUCCAUCCCGAUUUUCUCGCUCUCUCUAGAGGAGUGGUCCAACUGCGGCGGCGACGGUGAGGUGCGCACACACAAGAAGACACGGCGGCGCGAGGCACGCCGGACAUGGCGACGCGGUAGCUUCGCUCGCCGGAGCAGCGUGCACAAGGACUUGGUCCGGCGCGCUCCUCCGUCGAGCGUAGCUCCGGAGACGCGACCACGUAGCCGAGGCGUUUACGGGCAUUUCGCCGGCGGCUGCCGGCGCACGCUUUGACGGCGACGGCGAGGAACAAGGCACGAAGUCCAGCAGCGGUUGCAUCUUCUUUCCGCGCCGUAACGAGAGACAGCGGCGUUCCGGCCAUGGCGUACACGCACGGCGGUGGCCGUGGCCGUGCGGACCCUAAGGCCGGCAUGCUCAUAAACGUAAGAUCCAGCCCCUCUUUAGUUUCUUUUCUUUCGAUUUGAGGCAUGGGAUUGACUUUGUAGGGUUCCCAAAAAUUUGGGGAUUGACUAGAGUUAGGGUUCGUCUGAAUUGGGGCUUUCUUUAAUUGCGCCAAUUCAUCAUAUUCUAAUGGCUAACAGGGGCUAGUUAUCAUGAUUACAUUAACAUUAUGCGGAAGCAUGGCAAAAUAAUAAUAAUUAGACUAGCCGAACGGGUUAAUCAUCAUUAUUCUCUGAUUAGGACUAAACCCCCUAGCGAAUUAGAUCUUGACCGAAAAGCACAAACCCUAAAGAUGGCUAAAACCAACAGUCUAAACUUAAUCAUUAACCUUAAACAAUGAUCAUCUGAACUUAAUUGUUGAUAUUAACAUAAUUAGAUGAUCAUUAGGGAUCUAAUCUAGGCUUACACGGCUCAAGAUACCAUUGUUAGGAAAAAUCUUUAGGUUUAUUGCAAUCGGAUUAUUUGCCUAGCAUUAGAUCACCUAAGAUAUGAUUAACAAAGAGGUUUGUGAGAUCUUACAGGCUUGCUCGAUGCAGGCACAGCGGAGCCCAUGAUCUCAAGUGGCGAGGAUGAGCAGCACCAGUGGCGCCAAGGUGAUGUAGUCGUGGAGAGGCAGCAGCUCACCCAGGAGCUUCGCGGUGGCAGCAGGAAACCGCCGGCACAGCCUUGCGGCGGCUGGCGAUGGAAACGGCCUUCCCAUUGCAUAACACACCCCUAGAUCGGUAGGUUUGAGGGAAUUAAGGGGCUAGAUAUCAUGUACGUGAACUCAGGUGCCAUAAGUAUCCAUGCCCCGCCUUUUAUAUGUGUGCUCGCAAUAGGGAACCAAAACCAUCUGUUGGUUAGAGGUGCCCCCGAUCAGGGCGAUUCUGUUGGGGUCAACAACCACGUACGUUGGUUCGUGGCCCAUACCCUUAACGAUACUUUUUACCCGGUCAAAGCCGAGAUCAACCAACACCUGCUCCUCCACCUCCUCAGGCUGAUUUGCUGCAGAUGUGGCUGAUUUGCUGGUUACGGUUGUACCCACAACCUACAGAGACGAAUCGAGCGUUAGAGAGAGAGCAGGACAGAGGAGAGGGGAGAGGAAGCGGUGGCUUACCACCUACACCUGACCUGCGCAGGGGAGGGGAGCUAGAAGAGCCGCAACAUCUUCUCCAUGGGAUGGGC